RNAcentral lists this ribosomal RNA (465 nucleotides) under uncultured Klebsiella sp. Its description in RNAcentral is "bacterial SSU rRNA". It matches the Rfam family "Bacterial small subunit ribosomal RNA", at positions 338 to 795 of the family's 1533-position model. Lineage: Bacteria; Pseudomonadati; Pseudomonadota; Gammaproteobacteria; Enterobacterales; Enterobacteriaceae. The record is from RNAcentral.
CCUACGGGGGGCUGCAGUGGGGGAUAUUGCACAAUGGGCGCAAGCCUGAUGCAGCCAUGCCGCGUGUGUGAAGAAGGCCUUCGGGUUGUAAAGCACUUUCAGCGGGGAGGAAGGCGGUGAGGUUAAUAACCUCAUCGAUCGACGUUACCCGCAGAAGAAGCACCGGCUAACUCCGUGCCUGCAGCCGCGGUAAUACGGAGGGUGCAAGCGUUAAUCGGAAUUACUGGGCGUAAAGCGCACGCAGGCGGUCUGUCAAGUCGGAUGUGAAGUCCCCGGGCUCAACCUGGGAACUGCAUUCGAAACUGGCAGGCUAGAGUCUUGUAGAGGGGGGUAGAAUUCCAGGUGUAGCGGUGAAAUGCGUAGAGAUCUGGAGGAAUACCGGUGGCGAAGGCGGCCCCCUGGACAAAGACUGACGCUCAGGUGCGAAAGCGUGGGGAGCAAACAGGAUUAGAUACCCGAGUAGUC